RNAcentral lists this ribosomal RNA (254 nucleotides) under uncultured bacterium. RNAcentral's name for it is "partial 16S ribosomal RNA". It matches the Rfam family "Bacterial small subunit ribosomal RNA", at positions 524 to 776 of the family's 1533-position model. The record is from RNAcentral.
CACGUAGGGGGCGAGCGUUGUCCGGAUUUAUUGGGCGUAAAGAGCUCGUAGGCGGCUCAGUAAGUCAGGUGUGAAAACUCCAGGCUCAACCUGGAGACGCCACUUGAUACUGCUGUGGCUAGAGUCCGGUAGGGGAGCAUGGAAUUCCUGGUGUAGCGGUGAAAUGCGUAGAUAUCGGGAGGAACACCAGCGGCGAAGGCGGCUUUCUGGACCAAUACUGACGCUGAGACGCGAAAGCGUGGGGAGCAAACAGG